RNAcentral lists this long non-coding RNA (4435 nucleotides) under Triticum aestivum (bread wheat). RNAcentral's name for it is "long non-coding RNA (TAES_LNC002071)". Lineage: Eukaryota; Viridiplantae; Streptophyta; Magnoliopsida; Poales; Poaceae. The record is from RNAcentral.
UGGACGGCGGCGACGGCAGGAGGGCGCCGUCCUUCCUACUCGAGGAGGCGGAGGACGAGGGGCGCACCUAGCUGGCGGCCCUGUCCUGCUCGAGGAGGCGGGCGCUGCCGAGCUCAAGCACGGCCACGACGACCCACCUCGGCAGGUAGCACCUCCAUCUCCUCCGCCUCCUUCCUCUGCUCACUACUGCUGCUGCUAAGUAGAGGAAUAUGUGAUGCACUGCACCACACGAAGCUGGCUAUAUCCUUCACCGGUAGCUAGUUUGAUCUAACCUGAUGGACAAGCUAACAUACAUAGCAGUAGUUGCUUUUUUAUCAUCCCCCCACCGGCCAGAGCACAACGUACACAUACACACAGAGAGGAAAUCUCUAGUUAGCUUUUUUUAGUUUGUCCUCUAAUUUGUUAUUGGCCAUAGGCUCGUGACAAUCUCUUUUUUUCUUUGUUGAUGCUUACAAUCAAUUCCAUAAUUUACCAGUGUAUAAGUAUAUAGCCCCUAGCCAUGUCUACUUCCAGUCCUACUCGGACACACAUAUUCACAUGUAUUCUGCACGUACGCGUGGAAUCACGUUCAAGGGAACUUUAGCACUACUUUACAAUGUACAUGAAGAAUCGGUUUACUCCAAUUGACAAGUAAAGUACAGUGGCCUAGUUGGAUCCUGUGACAAAUCAUGUGACAAAUUCACAUCCUAGGCUUGAUUCCUGGCCGAGCCAGCUUUUACUUCAAUUGACUGCAUGAUUAAAGUAUAGAUAUAGAUAGUAUAUUUGUACUGGUAUGAUGAACAAGAGCUUCCAGUUAAUUACAUAAUAUUGGUGAUGUAGUUUUACUUGCUGUGUAUGCUUGCUUAGUUGUCCAUUGGGCCGCUCUCUUGUAUCGUUUGAGUGCGCCAAUUAGUUCGGCCAGCCUCUAUGAUUUAUUAUGUAGCUUUUGGAGUGCUUCUAUCUGUCACGCCCCAAAACAUAGCAGUGACAAUUGCCACAUGCUUAUAAAUUCAAUUCAAAUUUAUAAGCAUGUUAAGCCAUCAGGUUAACCAAGGUAGUACACUGGAAUAAUUUUUAUUCAUUAUCAUAGGAACGACUACAAGUGUUCUUGCUAGUACAUGCAUGCAAGUUUCUUUAUUUCAUCCCCUCCCGUAGUACUACUUCUACUGUUCACCAUCAUUUCCAUUGCUCAUCUCUGCAAAAAGAAAAGAUAGCAAGAAUGAGUAUGAUAACAUACUCAGCAAGCACACAUGUAGCAGGGAAAAACUGUGACCGGUACAAUGUUUUUGCCAUCGUGAUGCCUUAGUGUUAGAUUUUUCAUUAGGACUGGAACAUUAGAAGAGGAAAUAUUAUCUCAAAAGAUCACCAAUAUAUCAUCCCUAGCUUCUGCACAAGAUUAGCUAGUCUUGCAUGUGCUAUUCUUAGCAUAACGAGUGUACAGGUCCAACAAGUAAAAGUGAGGCGUACUUAGUCAGAACAAGGCAUGUGGUACAAGAUAGAAAGAGAGAAAAGACAAAUUAAUCUAGAGGAGUUCUUGGGAGAUAGGAUGCAUGCAUCUUUCACAACUAGCAUGCAGAACCAAACCACCAUGCGUACUGUACAAGGACACACUAGCUGAGGUGAAAGAAUUAACAACAAGAAUAGUGCUACAGACUAGCCAUAUAGAGAAGUACUAGCAACAGCGGCAUGGCAUGAGUAAAGAAAGAGAAGGAACAGGACAUCUAGAGAAGCUAGAUGGAACGCAUGCUUGCCUUCUCCCGAUUCUCUUGACACAGCAGCAAGAUUUCUAACGCCUGCUCUGCACCAGCAGCUACGGCUCUACUACUACUACCUCUAAUGAAGAGAGACAAUGGUUGUGGUGUGAGGUCCAGCUACCCGGCCCUUGGCCCUUUAUAUAGGCGUGCAGGAAUAGACACUAAGUAAAAUUGCUCUAAUUGACAUGUAUGUCUGACAACAGGAAUAGAUAAGCUUGCUGGCCUGUACCUGAGUCAGCGGCAUAAUCAUUUCCAUUUACUAAACAUUUUAUUUUCAGUUGCCUCCUCGACCCUUCCUACAGCCAGCUACUUGUUGAGCAAAAUAUCUGGUCUAACUCUUCUCACAAAUUAAGGGAAAGAAAAAAAAGUCUGCCUAGACCAGUACGUGUACAUGCAUUUGGGUUCUAAGCAACUACUUGAUUUUUUUUCUUAAUUUGGGUGCUAGGUACUGAUAGAGUUGGUGUAUCCAUAGAUAGCAUACACUUGCGCAUUUUUCUGAGUUCUUCUGUUGCGAAUGAGAACAACCAUCAUGGACCUCCUCUGUUUUCAAGCAACUUGCUUCUCCAUGUAUGAUUUAUGCAGCAUAUACAUCUUGCUCCUCUUUUAUCAGUAGCAAUGGAACUUGAUGAAAUUUAAGUGUCGUGUUGUUCUAGAGAUGCAGGGAGGGAGGGACUUCCAUGGAUUGGACUGCAAGGAUUGGAUGCAAACCAAUGCACAUGAGGAGGAGAGAUGCAAGCCAGGUCAUGACCUAAAGGUCCCUGCCGUGAACCCCUUCCCCUUCCCGUGUAUAAUCAUGCUCAACAAAUACUUGAUAUGAUUUUGGUUAAUCUUCAAUUCAGCCCAGCUAGCUGUUGUAGUACUUGCUUGUCUCCUUCCAAAUGUUGCCCUAGUCCGUUGAGUUUCUUAUUGCUCCAGGUAGUACUGUUAUUUUUCUGCUCUGCGAUUUGGUUUGCAUGGUUCUAGGCUCCCAGUCUACCGCUUUUGUUGCUGUGAUUUCGAGCUCUGUUUUCUUUAUUAUGACAAGUUGCAAAAUUAGUAGUGGGAAGUAAACUUUUGUUAACUUGUUGGCUGAACGAAUGGAACUACUGUUAUACUUGAUUUGUUGCUCAACUAGUGCUGCAAUGAUGGAACCGAUGAUUGUGCAUGAUGCAUCCAUCCAUUCUAUCGGAGAGGCUGUGUUUUUUUCUUCUUGUGCUAAGAUUGCCAGCAUCACAUAUCCUAUGCUUUUGUUUCUCCAGUAGAGCCUUGUGAGAUUUAUGUGUCUGCCACCGUCCUCGAAUGGUUGUUCAAUAAUAAUGGUCCUAGCUAAUUACUAGUAUGCGCUGCUGCUAAAACAACUUGCCCCUCGUUUGAUUUCAAGGAUGUUGUUGCUGCUAAAGUAGCAACAACAACGACAACAACCAUGCUUUGGUUCCCCAAAAUUCAGAUUGCACUUGCAUCUCUACAUACACACACAUAUGAACAUGCACCUCGGUUUGGUUCAGUUUGCAUAUUUACAUUUGCUUUAACUUUGACUGAAACUAUCUUGGUGACACUUGCAUCAAUGGUGUGUUCUGCCCUUGUAGAUGUCCUUGGAGAAGAUGGCCAUUGGAGUGUAGGGGAGAAACAACCUUGUCCUGCUCGAGGAGGAGGAGGACCACCCGAGCUCGACGACGACAUGGCAACAGGUAGCACUCGCCUCUCUCCCAAGGUGAAGGUCUGGUCCGCCUGUUUAGAUGGUCUGCUCUCGUCUUAUGCAUGUGAGGGGAGAAGGAAGCCAUUGGACUGAAUUAUAUUUGCAUGUGAGGGGGGUGAUCCUUUUGGUAGAUGCAGAGUAUAGAUUCACAAAAUUCACCACAUGAGCGUACUACCUAUAUCCAAAUUCUGGAUACCACUUGCAUCUUUUGUAUGUACACAUGAAAAAGCACGACGGUUUGCUUCAGUUUGUAUGUAUCCAAUUGUUUUUUACUUUUGACUGAAACUAUCUAUCUUGGUGGCACUUGCAUCUCCUGUACAUACAUACAUAUGAAUCAGGACCACACUUUUCUUCAAUUUGUAUGUGUCAAUUUUUUUUGGUUGAACUUUGAGUGAAACCAACUGGCUGGCACCUCAAUCUGUACAUACACAUGAAUCAGCACCACCCUUGGUUCAGUUUUGUAUGUGUCCAUUUGUUUUUACUUUGACUAAAGCGAACUUGAUGACACUUGCAUCUUCUGUAUAUACAUAUAUACAUAUGAAUCAGCACCACUCUUUUUCUCUUUGAAGCUUGCCUUGAACAAGAACUGAUGCUUGAUAGAUACAACCGAAACUGGAGCAUCUCUGUAUUGUAUGUAUUAGUAGUAUUGUUCGGUUCAAGCACCAACAUGACAAGUUAUCUGCCUUUUUAGUUCUAGGUGAUUUUCUUUUGGUAAAUUUAAUGUAUAGAUUACAUAUUCAUCCUCAUAUGUAGGAUCUUCUGUUUGUUGUACUGACUGUAUGCCACCUCCAUCGUUGCAGCCUUGUCUCCCCCACCACCGCCCCUCAGCCUCCUAUAAUGUUGUUGUGGAUUCUUAGAAUGGAAAUGUUAUGUACAUAAAAAAUACACUAUGGUCUGUGUUUGCAAAUCCAUGGUUGUUGAAUCAUGUUUGUAUAAGCAUUUGUAAAUAGCUAGCCUUGUUGGCUAAUCUUUUUUUUGGUUCUGGUCAGCAACUAUGCCGACGGCAAUGCUGUAGGCAUAGAUGGCU